CAAGGAGAUGUGGAGGAGUAUAUUUAGUUUCCUCCGCUAUUAAUAGGGUUCACGGCGUGUGAACCUAUACUUUGGUUAAUUCAUCGAUACUGCAUUCUGAUCAAAUGUGGUACUGUGAUGAUAAUCUUUAUGGGAGGAAGGAGACGUCCUUCCGUUAUGACCAUAUUGUCAUCAUGGAACUUUCGUUCUGAUGGAUUUUCUCUGUAUGGGUGAGCCUUUCUAAGUUUUAUCUUUUAAACGGCAUUGCCUUGUCUCCUAAGAUGGAUAAGUCCUUCUUGUGAUGCACCGUUAGCUUGUGAUGCACCGUUAGGGUGCACACUCAUGUGAAGGGUUUGGAACACCUCAAACCUGGAUGGAUGCAAGCAUCACCCUUUGGUAAGGUGGUGUUUUCAUUUGUGCGUUACUUGAAGGUCUGUCGGAAAUUCUCAUGCUCUAGCACUUUGUUUGCGUUAAAAGGGGUGAGUUUUAUUUGAAGUUAAGAAAGAAAAGGAAUAAACAAUUCUGGUCACAAUACUAUUACCGUGACACCUUCUUUUCUUCUUUUAGAAUUCACCUCCUUUUAGUGCAAUCCUAGUGUUCGGGGUGAGGGUUAAAGACUAGAUCCACGGAGCACUGUGCUCCUAGGGAAUUCUAGAAAUUAACUACUUCUAGAACGGAACACAUAAGACUAUGUAUACAAUACAAGGAAAGGAAAAAGGUCUCUUAGGGGUACCACAAAGAAAAGAAUCAAAAUAGCUAAAAAGAGUCUGCUUCCUUUAUCAUAUAUAUGAGAUAGUAGAUCACCUUUUUUUUUUGAAGCAAAAAAAAAGGUGAUCUACUGUUGUAGUCUUCUUGACAUAUCAAGUCAAGAGGGCGAGGCUCCUAGCAAUGGGGGGAAAGGGGAGUGGGUAAGCGGGCUCCUUUCACUUGACUGGUUAGUUAGGAGUGAUCUUUUUUCUACGAUGUUCGAGAUCUUUGUCUCGCAGAGGGUGAAAUGAGAUCUUCUUGGAACAAGGUCAGAGGCGUUGGACGGACCAGUUUCUUCUGAUUCCAAUGAUAGAUGGAUGGUCAGGUCGGUAACAUAUGGAUGGAGGACUUCUACAGGGUCUUCUCGUGCGCUCGACUAGCAAGGUGGUUUUGUAGGCGAACGAAAUAAGUUUUUGGAGGCGAGCGGAGUGAGGCAAUGAAAUUGUUUAGGCGAAAGAAAGGAGAGAACGAGUGGAGUUUCGAGAAUGAGAAUCAUAUAUUUUCUCAUUUCUUUUUCGUAGUAAGAAGACACUAAGACGCACCCACUACACACCACACACUCAGACGACUAGCGUGGUCCUUCCCCCAUCGAAGAGCCACGUAUCCAGGGUUGACCACAUCAUCACUGUUUUAUCAAGGUGUGGCCACGGUCUCAAUUGGGUCAUUGUUUAGUAUGCCCAAGCUUGACAAUAGCUGUGGAUAUUUUGAGUCCCUCAGAACGCAACUCCCUUAUGAGUUGGAAGCCAAGACAAAUGGAUUCCACUUCAUAGGUACCGUUCACCUCACGUGAAGGCUCGCUCAGAACACGUACCAAGCUUUUAUUAGAAAGGAACAGAACAAAGAGGAGUGCUCCACUCCGAAAGAGAAGGAACGGAAAGAGCAGGCGGCAGAGAAAGAGACAAGGAGGAAGAAGGGGGCACUACGGGAAGAGCAUCCAAGACGCGCUAAGGCAAAGGCAUAGAGCUCAAACACAGGCUUAGUAAGCACAGAUUCCCUAGAAAGAAAGAUAAUUCUAGAAAUUAACUACUUCUAGAACGGAACACAUAAGACUAUGUAUACAAUACAAGGAAAGGAAAAAGGUCUCUUAGGGGUACCACAAAGAAAAGAAUCAAAAUAGCUAAAAAGAGUCUGCUUCCUUUAUCAUAUAUAUGAGAUAGUAGAUCACCUUUUUUUUUUGAAGCAAAAAAAAAGGUGAUCUACUGUUGUAGUCUUCUUGACAUAUCAAGUCAAGAGGGCGAGGCUCCUAGCAAUGGGGGGAAAGGGGAGUGGGUAAGCGGGCUCCUUUCACUUGACUGGUUAGUUAGGAGUGAUCUUUUUUCUACGAUGUUCGAGAUCUUUGUCUCGCAGAGGGUGAAAUGAGAUCUUCUUGGAACAAGGUCAGAGGCGUUGGACGGACCAGUUUCUUCUGAUUCCAAUGAUAGAUGGAUGGUCAGGUCGGUAACAUAUGGAUGGAGGACUUCUACAGGGUCUUCUCGUGCGCUCGACUAGCAAGGUGGUUUUGUAGGCGAACGAAAUAAGUUUUUGGAGGCGAGCGGAGUGAGGCAAUGAAAUUGUUUAGGCGAAAGAAAGGAGAGAACGAGUGGAGUUUCGAGAAUGAGAAUCAUAUAUUUUCUCAUUUCUUUUUCGUAGUAAGAAGACACUAAGACGCACCCACUACACACCACACACUAAGACGACUAGCGUGGUCCUUCCCCCAUCGAAG
Molecule: long non-coding RNA, 2428 nt
Filed under: Capsicum annuum
Lineage: Eukaryota; Viridiplantae; Streptophyta; Magnoliopsida; Solanales; Solanaceae
Description: long non-coding RNA (CANN_LNC020640)
Source: RNAcentral